CAGCAGUAGCCGCGGUAAUACAGAGGGUGCGAGCGUUAAUCGGAUUUUCUGGGCGUAAAGCGUGCGUAGGCGGCUUCUUAAGUCGGAUGUGAAAUCCCUGAGCUUAACUUAGGAAUUGCAUUCGAUACUGGGAAGCUAGAGUAUGGGAGAGGAUGGUAGAAUUCCAGGUGUAGCGGUGAAAUGCGUAGAGAUCUGGAGGAAUACCGAUGGCGAAGGCAGCCAUCUGGCCUAAUACUGACGCUGAGGUACGAAAGCAUGGGGAGCAAACAGGAUUAGAUACCCCCGUAGUCCCUGUCUCUUAUAC
Molecule: ribosomal RNA, 304 nt
Filed under: uncultured bacterium
Lineage: Bacteria
Description: partial 16S ribosomal RNA
Rfam family: Bacterial small subunit ribosomal RNA
Source: RNAcentral